GGAAGGAUCAUUAAACGAUAUUGCGGCUCGCCGUCUCGGUGAACUCUUCAUAUCGACACACACACUGCGUACCCACCUGUUGCCUCCGCCGGGAGACACUCCCGGCGAGCGGGGAGCUCGAUAACACCCUUUGCAUUGCAUUGCAGUCAGUCUGAACUCAUUGAGAGAAACUGUCACAAAACUUUCAGCAACGGAUCUCUUGGUUCUCGCAUCGAUGAAGAACGCAGCGAAAUGCGAUAAGUAGUGUGAAUUGCAGAAUUCAGUGAAUCAUCGAAUCUUUGAACGCACAUUGCGCCUCCCGGCAUUCCGGGAGGCAUGCCUGUCCGAGCACCAACACGAAAUUCAGUCAGGCCGUCAAGUGGCCUGGUGGUGGUGGGGGAUGGGUGGUCGUGAUAUCAUCGAGCCUGCUUCCCCUCUGCGGGGGGUUGCGGGAUCGGACUUGGAUGUGCUGCCGGCCGGAGACGGUCGGCUCAUCCGAAACGCAUUAGCCUCCUGUCCCUUGGCUCCGGGGUGUUCUCACUCGGCGUGAUAAGAUCACCCGUCGGGGGACCCCCUCUGCCUCAUCCUGGGACUGGCUUCCAACCGUCCGCGAGGACAACGACUUGACCAUCUGACCUCAAAUCGGGUAGGACUACCCGCUGAACUUAAGCAUAUCAAUAAGCGGAGGAAAAGAAACUAACAAGGAUUCCCCUAGUAAC
RNAcentral lists this ribosomal RNA (698 nucleotides) under uncultured fungus. Its description in RNAcentral is "eukaryotic LSU rRNA". The stretch from base 180 to 333 matches the Rfam family "5.8S ribosomal RNA". Lineage: Eukaryota; Fungi. The record is from RNAcentral.